This is a long non-coding RNA of Perca fluviatilis (European perch), 1483 nucleotides long. RefSeq lists it as uncharacterized. NCBI's taxonomy places the organism in Eukaryota, Metazoa, Chordata, Actinopteri, Perciformes, Percidae. The record is from RefSeq and is a predicted model, not a curated record. The transcript is spliced from 2 exons.
UGUGUGUGUGUGUGUGUGUGUGUGUGUGUGUGUGUGUGUGUGUGUGUGUGUGUGUGUGUGUGUGUGUGUGUGUGUGUGUGUGUCUGCCUAAUCAGCACUUGUUUUCUAACGUAACUUUUGGAAUGAUAGAGAGUCGAGUUAAUUGCACUGUUCUGUCUGCUGCUGUUGUGGGGUUGGGACGUCACUCUUUGGGCAUUUUUCUGAUGUUCGUUGUAAGAACAUAAAUCUUCACUGUGAAAUGUUUCUUUUAUGAAGCUCCUGUCACCUGGGUUGCACUACAUGGUAAAGGAUUUCAGUCCAAAAUAAAAGAGGCACAAUUUAAUGAGUAAUACUCUUAACAUGCAGCAAAAUAAUUCUCAAAAUGCGUUAAUCACUUCUUGUACUCCAAUUCUUCAUGCUUAAAUGGGGUUUCUCCUCCAAAAGAUCUUAGUUUACAGUGGUUCCCAACCUUAUUGGCACUUUAAAGAAUAUUAGGUUCUUGGAAAAUAUGUAGCUGUGCCCAUCAGCUGGUUAGCUUAUGUUAGAAUAGCAUAGAGACUGGAAACAGAGGGAAACAUCUAGCCUUGCUCUGUAAAAAAUGUGCAUAGCAGCUCAGCUAAAGCUGACUAAUUGACACAGUAGUUGAACCAAAUUUAUAUAUUUGAAGGAUUUUUAGAGGCCCCCAAAAUAAAAAGUAUUCAGUAUUUCACAGGAAUGAAGCAGAAAUUGUGGAGAAGCCAGAAAACAAUGAGAAAACUUUACAUACAAUUUUUUUUUUUUUCUAUCUUUCUUUCUGGCACUUUUAAUAAUUUGGUGACCCAUCAGGUUGUUCUUGGGACCCCUAAAGUCUGGAAACCACUUGUCUAGUAUAUAUUUUAAAGACCUCACUUGUUACGGCUUAACUGGACUUUAUUUUUAUUUUUCUUGAGGCUGGUUUUACUUCUAGGGUUUAAUCUAUUUAGUGGCCCUGUAGAGAGUUAUAUUAACCAUCAGAGUAUGUUGGGGGAAAAAUAAUCUAUGAAGUUAAUGUCAUAGUUACUGAUAUGUAUAAAAUUGUGGGAAAACAAAUCUGCAUUUUAUCAAAACGUUUACCCUGGAUUUCAGUCCCAAGUACAAUUUUAUGUGUACCAAUCUAUUAAUGGAUUAGUCUCCGGAGUACUUAUACCCUCAUCAACAGGCUUUGCUUUGUGUACGAUCCCUCACGAGGUAAACACUCCUGAGACACUACUUAAAGCAAAUCAUGUGAUAUUCAUUUCCCUACGGCCUCACGGAGGAGUAUUAAAGAGAUAAGCUGCCUCUGUGUCUUUAGUUUGAACCAGGCGGUUUUUAAAGAAAACACUGAGCUCUUCAGCUCACGGCUCCUAAAUGAAGUGACCGACCGACUCCACUGAAAAGCCUCCUCAACUCAGCAGAUGGAUUGUCUUUGGACUGCCUUUAACAUGGAGGUGUGCAGAGGUUUAAAGUGCACUACAGAUUAAAGUGUCUAUUAUUAAAAAUUAUUGGU